UCUCCUGUUAUGCAUGUCUCUCUGCCCCUGAUAUUUAUAAUGGUCCUAUUGGAAAUCAAUUAAUAAAAUACCCCUGGGUAACAACAGCCCUUCAUGUUCAUCCCCCCUCCUCUAUCAUAUACAGCCUCUCUCUUCAUUCUUGUGGUCUCAGAACUCUGGAAAAUGUUCACGAGAGUGAUAUUAAUUCUCAGGCCACGCUUCUUAGUAUUUGUCUUCUGGAAAAUGGACACUGGAAACAUUGAUAUUGAGUUUGCAGUCAUGAUGUAAGGAAGAUAUUAAAUGAAUGAUUAGUGGAAUAACUGCGUCAGAAGAAAAGUACUACAGGAACUGCUGUGGACGUCUAAAAAGAGGCAGUAGAAUACAUUUUUGGCAAGCAAAAGCUUUUCAAGGAGGCUCAGCUUGAUAAACACUAAUACAAAUUUGAAUGCCAAGUUGAAGAGCAUUCUUUGGGGCAGUACAUAUCUUCUGCUAGACCACUGCAAACCUCAGUUCCAAGGAAAGUCUAUUGUAGACUGGAAGCCAACAUUUCACAGUUGAAAAAUAACAAGAGGGAGAACAGCCAGAAAAAGAGAAAGGGAGAAGAGAAAAAAAGGACAAACAUAAAGGAAUACAUUUUGAGGAAAAUUGUGAAGAUAAUCACCCAUUGUGCUGUCUCCAAGCUCUGCAGUUGCCAAAGCUAAUAAAAGUUUUAAAAGAAGACCAAAUUUAUUAGAGGU
Xenopus laevis (African clawed frog) is the source of this 716-nucleotide long non-coding RNA. RefSeq lists it as uncharacterized. Lineage: Eukaryota; Metazoa; Chordata; Amphibia; Anura; Pipidae. The record is from RefSeq and is a predicted model, not a curated record. The transcript has 3 exons.